AACGGGUGAGUAACACGUAAGCAACCUGCCCUUAAGACGAGGAUAACAAUUGGAAACAGUUGCUAAGACUGGAUAGGAAAAGUGAAGGCAUCUUUACUUUUUUAAAAGACCUUCUUUGAAGGUAUGCUUAAGGAGGGGCUUGCGACACAUUAGUUAGUUGGCAGGGUAAAGGCCUACCAAGACUAUGAUGUGUAGCUGGACUGAGAGGUUGAACAGCCACAUUGGGACUGAGACACGGCCCAAACUCCUACGGGAGGCAGCAGUAGGGAAUUUUCGGCAAUGGAGGAAACUCUGACCGAGCAACGCCGCGUGAACGAUUAAGUACCUCGGUAUGUAAAGUUCUUUUAUUAAGGAAGAAAAAAGAGUGGAAAAACUCCCUUGACGGUACUUAAUGAAUAAGCCCCGGCUAAUUAUGUGCCAGCAGCCGCGGUAAUACAUAAGGGGCGAGCGUUAUCCGGAAUUAUUGGGCGUAAAGGGUGCGUAGGCGGUUUAAUAAGUCUAUAGUUUAAUUUCAGCGCUUAACGCUGUUGUGCUAUAGAAACUGUUUUACUAGAGCAAGAUAGAGGCAAGCGGAAUUCCAUGUGUAGCGGUAAAAUGCGUAAAUAUAUGGAGGAACACCAGAGGCGUAGGCGGCUUGCUGGGUCUUUACUGACGCUGAGGCACGAAAGCGUGGGGAGCAAACAGGAUUAGAUACCCUGGUAGUCCACGCCGUAAACGAUGAGUACUAAGUGUCGGGUAAAACCGGUACUGAAGUUAACACAUUAAGUACUCCGCCUGAGUAGUACGUACGCAAGUAUGAAACUUAAAGGAAUUGACGGGACUCCGCACAAGCGGUGGAUCAUGUUGUUUAAUUCGAAGAUACACGAAAAACCUUACCAGGUCUUGACAUUUUCUUGCGAAGUUAUAGAAAUAUAAUGGAGGUUAUCAGGAAAACAGGUGGUGCAUGGUUGUCGUCAGCUCGUGUCGUGAGAUGUUAGGUUAAGUCCUAAAACGAGCGCAACCCUUGUCGUUAAUUGCCAGCAUGUAAUGAUGGGGACUUUAACGAGACUGCCAAUGAAAAAUUGGAGGAAGGUGGGGAUUACGUCAAAUCAUCAUGCCCCUUAUGAUCUGGGCUACAAACGUGAUACAAUGGUUGAUACAAAGAGUAGCUGAAACGCGAGUUCUUAGCCAAUCUCACAAAAUCAAUCUCAGUUCGGAUUGAAGUCUGCAACUCGACUUCAUGAAGUUGGAAUCGCUAGUAAUCGUGAAUCAGCAUGUCACGGUGAAUACGUUCUCGGGGUUUGUACACACCGCCCGUCAAACCACGAAAGUUGGCAAUACCCCAAAGCGGUCGCCUAACUUCGCAAGAAGAAGGAUCCGUCUAAGGUAGGGUCGAUAAUUGGGGUUAAGUCGUAA
Molecule: ribosomal RNA, 1395 nt
Filed under: Pecan bunchy top phytoplasma PBT
Lineage: Bacteria; Bacillati; Mycoplasmatota; Mollicutes; Acholeplasmatales; Acholeplasmataceae
Description: bacterial SSU rRNA
Rfam family: Bacterial small subunit ribosomal RNA
Source: RNAcentral